GAGUUUGAUCAUGGCUCAGGACGAACGCUGGCGGCGUGCCUAAUACAUGCAAGUAGAACGCUGAAGAGAGGAGCUUGCUCUUCUUGGAUGAGUUGCGAACGGGUGAGUAACGCGUAGGUAACCUGCCUUGUAGCGGGGGAUAACUAUUGGAAACGAUAGCUAAUACCGCAUAACAAUGGAUGACACAUGUCAUUUAUUUGAAAGGGGCAAUUGCUCCACUACAAGAUGGACCUGCGUUGUAUUAGCUAGUAGGUGAGGUAACGGCUCACCUAGGCGACGAUACAUAGCCGACCUGAGAGGGUGAUCGGCCACACUGGGACUGAGACACGGCCCAGACUCCUACGGGAGGCAGCAGUAGGGAAUCUUCGGCAAUGGGGGCAACCCUGACCGAGCAACGCCGCGUGAGUGAAGAAGGUUUUCGGAUCGUAAAGCUCUGUUGUAAGUCAAGAACGAGUGUGAGAGUGGAAAGUUCACACUGUGACGGUAGCUUACCAGAAAGGGACGGCUAACUACGUGCCAGCAGCCGCGGUAAUACGUAGGUCCCGAGCGUUGUCCGGAUUUAUUGGGCGUAAAGCGAGCGCAGGCGGUUUGAUAAGUCUGAAGUUAAAGGCUGUGGCUCAACCAUAGUUCGCUUUGGAAACUGUCAAACUUGAGUGCAGAAGGGGAGAGUGGAAUUCCAUGUGUAGCGGUGAAAUGCGUAGAUAUAUGGAGGAACACCGGUGGCGAAAGCGGCUCUCUGGUCUGUAACUGACGCUGAGGCUCGAAAGCGUGGGGAGCGAACAGGAUUAGAUACCCUGGUAGUCCACGCCGUAAACGAUGAGUGCUAGGUGUUGGAUCCUUUCCGGGAUUCAGUGCCGCAGCUAACGCAUUAAGCACUCCGCCUGGGGAGUACGACCGCAAGGUUGAAACUCAAAGGAAUUGACGGGGGCCCGCACAAGCGGUGGAGCAUGUGGUUUAAUUCGAAGCAACGCGAAGAACCUUACCAGGUCUUGACAUCCCGAUGCUAUUUCUAGAGAUAGAAAGUUACUUCGGUACAUCGGUGACAGGUGGUGCAUGGUUGUCGUCAGCUCGUGUCGUGAGAUGUUGGGUUAAGUCCCGCAACGAGCGCAACCCCUAUUGUUAGUUGCCAUCAUUCAGUUGGGCACUCUAGCGAGACUGCCGGUAAUAAACCGGAGGAAGGUGGGGAUGACGUCAAAUCAUCAUGCCCCUUAUGACCUGGGCUACACACGUGCUACAAUGGUUGGUACAACGAGUUGCGAGUCGGUGACGGCAAGCUAAUCUCUUAAAGCCAAUCUCAGUUCGGAUUGUAGGCUGCAACUCGCCUACAUGAAGUCGGAAUCGCUAGUAAUCGCGGAUCAGCACGCCGCGGUGAAUACGUUCCCGGGCCUUGUACACACCGCCCGUC
Molecule: ribosomal RNA, 1405 nt
Filed under: uncultured bacterium
Lineage: Bacteria
Description: bacterial SSU rRNA
Rfam family: Bacterial small subunit ribosomal RNA
Source: RNAcentral